CUCCCGGAGGGUCCCCCGGCAGCCGGGCCCCGCGCGGCCUCCCCCCCGCCCCACGGGCGACCCGCCGGGGCCCCUCCGACAGCCCCUGCCCUCUGCGCCCCCCCUUCCAAGAAGAGCCCCUUCUCUCCGCGAGACCAGAAGCUAGACUCCAGAAACAUCGACGUUGAACCACGGAGGUAACAGCUGGUAUCCCUCUGCAUUGCUGAUGAACAGAAAAGCCUUUGCACCCCUAAUAGGAUGUGUCUUUUUGUUCUCAAACUGGUAUCCUUCACCGUAAUAGAAAAUUUUUAUCUAUUUCUACCUUAGAGUUUGUAUUGGGAAUGUCUGCUGGGAUUUCUUGGUCUCCAAUACAUUUAUAGGUUUUUUUUUUUCUCCUUUAAUUCUGAUCCUGAGUGCUUCUUCAACAUGCCAGCCUGUGUUUCAUCAUGCAACCUUCACAUUUGCUGUGAAGCACUCCUCCUGGAAUGUUGUUCCCCUGACGUCCACGUGGCUCACUCCCUUGUUUUAUUUAGGUCUUUUGCUCAAAUGUCACUUAAAAGUGUUUCCUUACCAACCAUUAAAGGUGGAAUUAUAUUCA
Long non-coding RNA from Canis lupus familiaris (dog), 577 nucleotides. RefSeq lists it as uncharacterized. NCBI's taxonomy places the organism in Eukaryota, Metazoa, Chordata, Mammalia, Carnivora, Canidae. The transcript is spliced from 2 exons. The record is from RefSeq and is a predicted model, not a curated record.